GAGUUUGAUCGUGGCUCAGAUUGAACGCUGGCGGCAUGCCUUACACAUGCAAGUCGAACGGCAGCAUGAUCUAGCUUGCUAGAUUGAUGGCGAGUAGCGAACGGGUGAGUAAUACAUCGGAACGUGCCCUGUAGUGGGGGAUAACUAGUCGAAAGAUUAGCUAAUACCGCAUACGACCUGAGGGUGAAAGUGGGGGACCGCAAGGCCUCAUGCUAUAGGAGCGGCCGAUGUCUGAUUAGCUAGUUGGUGGGGUAAAGGCCCACCAAGGCGACGAUCAGUAGCUGGUCUGAGAGGACGAUCAGCCACACUGGGACUGAGACACGGCCCAGACUCCUACGGGAGGCAGCAGUGGGGAAUUUUGGACAAUGGGCGAAAGCCUGAUCCAGCAAUGCCGCGUGUGUGAAGAAGGCCUCGG
RNAcentral lists this ribosomal RNA (415 nucleotides) under uncultured microorganism. RNAcentral describes it as "bacterial SSU rRNA". It matches the Rfam family "Bacterial small subunit ribosomal RNA", at positions 9 to 420 of the family's 1533-position model. The record is from RNAcentral.